ACACACACACACACACACACACACACACACACACACACACACACACACACACACACACACACGUGCGCGUGCGCGCGCGCACAGACAGAAACAAAGGGACCCAUCAACACUAGCACGGACACGCACGCGCUCCAACUUUUUUUUUGUUGUUAUCCACCCAGCGGAUACCUCCGCGAGGCGCGAGCUGCUCCACUGUGUCCAGAUCUGUGGGAUUUUAUGGAACAAGACGUUUUACGACUGUGCUCAGUUUUGGGAUUUUUGAUUAUUUCAUUUAUGGAUUAAGGAUUACCCACAAUUCCUUUUUUUGUUACUGGAUUAUUACUCUGCACUGGGAUUAGUGCACCGUCCAUGAGGGGAGCGCAGCACGAAGCGUACUAAGAAAACCAGAGAGCAUGGGAGUGUUUUCUGCACCUUGAUCAAGAUAAGAUCUCUCUGUGGGCUGUGACUAAAGAACCCUACAGGGAACCGGUGGUUAUAUAACCAAGCAUAAAGAACUGUGAUUGAUCACGAUGUUCACGUCGGGACUCGUCAAGGAAACAGCAACGAGGAGGAGGAGGAAGAUUCAUCCUGAGUCACUGAGUGAAACUGUGAGCUGUCAGUGUGUGAGGACUGAAGACUGGAAGGAGAUGAAGCCCCUCUCUGUGAGGUCAGGAGCCACUAUUGAUUACCCGCCCAGCAGGAGCCCACUUGGACGUUUAAAGACUUUAUCAUCGUGCCAGAUGUGCGUAACAGCUGGGAGCCAGAUGCAGACUCAUACAUGCACAAAACGGCAUUUUUAUGUAAAUUUGGUGACAAUUUGACAAAUGAGCUGAUGGCAUAUGCACACGGGAGAACCUAGACUGAAAAAUAAUCAUAAAAAAAACAAAAACAAGGACAUGUGAUGUGGACUACCUGCGCAACGGAGCGUCAUGCAGCAUCAUGGCGUACCGAACAUCUCCUCCACCCCGAAGGAAAGAAACAAACGAUGAAAAGUGAAGUUUACAAAAAAAAAAAAAAAAAAGUGAAGUUUACAAGCCGGCUUUAUAGAAACCUUUUCCUUACACAGCAGGGGCUGAGUUCACUGAAAUGACAAUGCAGCAAGAGUGCAGAAUUCCUGUCGAUUUAUUUUUCCGUACAUUUUCUUGUGUCAUUUAUUUCAUACAACAUGAUAUUCUGUACAUGUUUCUCUUUCACGCACUUCUGUAUUCUGUGUACUUUGUGAUUAUGCAAACUUUAUUCUGGAAUUUGUGCCUAAAAAGUCGAAUCAAACUUAAUUCUGUUUUAUUUUCACUUUGAUAUUCUUUACACCACAGUAUUCCAGACACCUUGAAAUUAUAUUAUACUUGUAUAUUUCGUAUAUAUUUUCUACACUACUGUAUUCCGUACACUGUGUUUCGUACUGUUUUGUUUUCUUUAGUAUCUUGUUGUGUACACUGACAUUUUGUACAUUUUCUUAUUCCUCAUAAUUUAAUAUCCCUUACUCUUCAGUAUUUCGUGCACAUCGUUAUUUCGUGGUCUCUGAUAUUUUGGUAUUCCGUAGUCUUUAGUUUCUUUUUUUUCUGAACACAUUAGAAUUUUCUUCAUAUUUCUUACACUUCAGUAUUCUGUGCACUUUAUUUAGCCUAUUCUGAUAUUUUGUACACAUUGUUAUUCUGUAAUCUUUAUUUAAUUUUUUUUUAUACAGAACACUGCAGAAUUUUUGGUAUUGCGUAUACAUGAGUAUUGCGUAUACUUCAUGUUUUUUUUUUUUUGUUUUUUUUUUACAGUUUGUUUAUUUCCUACAUUUUACAAGUAAUAUACUACAUUCCCUUCACUUUCGUCUCCUGGCUAUGUUGGUAUUUUGUGUACGGUUUAGAUUUACUUUAAUUUGUACAUAUGGAAGUCCGUAUACUUCACUACCCUUCAGUAUUCCGUAGUCUUCUGUGUUUUUUUUCUAUUUGGAACAUUGUGGAAGUUUGUAAAACGAUUUUGUAAAUUCUGGUAUUCUAUAAUAUACAGGUAUGCUUCAGCAUUCCCUGAAUGUACACUUUGGAAUUCUGUAGACUUCGUAAUUUUUUUGCAUAUUUAGAAUACUUUGGAAUUUUGUACACAAUCGUACAUCAUUAUUUCUUGCACUUUGUUAUUUCCCAUACGUCUGUAUUACAUAUACUUUGGUAUUUUGGACAACAACCUCAUUCUUAUUUUCUACAUUUUAGUUUGCCGUACUUUUGCAUUCUGAAGAGUUUGGAAUUUUGUAUACUAGAAUUCUUAACACUGUUGUCUUACACUGCUAUUCGGUGCUAUUAUGGUGUGUGUGUGUGUGUGUGUGUGUGUGUGUGUGCAAGUGUGUGUGUGAGACCCAACAAAUUCAUGCUUCUGAUUAAAUCCUGGCAAGGAACACUCUGAGAACCCGUCCCAAAUGCAGAAUACACACUAGUGAGCCUCCUUUGUUGUGGCUGCUGAACUUCUCCUCUGGAAAACAUCACAAAGGUGGUUCCACCACCGCAGAGCGAUUUGCCCCACAGUUAAAGCUGAAGUUAUGGCACGUUGUUGAUGCCUGAAGGACGGCUGGAGAAAAUCACAGAAAUUCCAAACGUUUGAUGACAUCAUGAGCAAAAUGGUGGCAUGUGUGUAGCUCUUCAAAUUCCCUGACAUUCUUGCUGCAGUAUCAGGACAGUUAUGGAUUUUUUUGUUGAAUUCCUAGAAGAGAAACCAUCCAAACGAUCAAACACAUGUGCUAGGACGAUCUUUAGGGUUCUCAGGUUGUUUCUCUGGAGAAAACCUUAAAAGCAGUGGCAAAUAACCCUUCAUUAUACAAAGAGCCUUUUUAUUUAGCUAGCUGAGAAUUCCUAGGUGCAGGAAUUGCGUCUCAGACAGAACGCUGGUCACUACUGUACAUAGGCACCGUUUUUAGGUCUAAACAAAUAAUGCUCUGUUCCUUUCAUAGUAUCACUAAUCAGCUAAUUCUGCUCAAUUUUCUCAAUUUCAAAAUUCUAAAUUUUUCACAUGUAAAUAUUGUGUUUCUUGUAGUUGACAGUCAUGUUUGUUCUUUUGUCUUGUUAGCUAGCUAGCUGUGGAAGCUGCUAACAUUCUCAGUCAGUCUGAUAAUCUAGCGAGAAGAACAAAUGCGCUGAUGAUGAUGAUGAUGAUGACGAUGACGAUGAUGACAUUCCUAAAUGGUCAAGUUUUACAGUUAAAUCAGAGCAGACUUUCACUAUCUACUGUAAUUAAGCUAAGAGUAUAUGUCGGUAAUAGCACACUAAAGUGUUCUAAACCUCUUUUGUAGCUAAAUGUCUAAUUUGUGGUAAUAUUUCUCCUUGUGUUAGCCGAAGUCACUCAUCACAUGAUCUUGACGCUAUAAGACUAGCAUCAAUAUAUAAUAUUUAGCCGAGAAAGUCACUCACUUGGCUAGCUAGCUAGUUAUUUACUGAGUUCUGAACAGUGAUGUGUUUAAAGCUUCUCUUUAUACUUCAAAAUCAGGUGUUAAUAAAAUAUUUUUGAAACACAAAUAUAAUUCAAUAAAAUCUUGAGCCACUAAAAAACUUGGGUUCUUUCUUUCUUUCUUUCUUUCUUUCUUUCUUUCUUUCUUUCUUUCUUUCUUUCUUUCUU
This is a long non-coding RNA of Tachysurus fulvidraco (yellow catfish), 3567 nucleotides long. RefSeq lists it as uncharacterized. The record is from RefSeq and is a predicted model, not a curated record. The transcript has 5 exons. Lineage: Eukaryota; Metazoa; Chordata; Actinopteri; Siluriformes; Bagridae.